CGGCGGACGGGUGAGUAACACGUGGAUAACCUACCUAUAAGACUGGGAUAACUUCGGGAAACCGGAGCUAAUACCGGAUAAUAUAUUGAACCGCAUGUUUCAAUAGUGAAAGACGGUUUUGCUGUCACUUAUANAUGGAUCCGCGCCGCAUUAGCUAGUUGGUAAGGUAACGGCUUACCAAGGCAACGAUGCGUAGCCGACCUGAGAGGGUGAUCGGCCACACUGGAACUGAGACACGGUCCAGACUCCUACGGGAGGCAGCAGCC
Molecule: ribosomal RNA, 266 nt
Filed under: uncultured Staphylococcus sp.
Lineage: Bacteria; Bacillati; Bacillota; Bacilli; Caryophanales; Staphylococcaceae
Description: partial 16S ribosomal RNA
Rfam family: Bacterial small subunit ribosomal RNA
Source: RNAcentral